This 465-nucleotide ribosomal RNA is filed under the name uncultured bacterium. Its description in RNAcentral is "partial 16S ribosomal RNA". It matches the Rfam family "Bacterial small subunit ribosomal RNA", at positions 28 to 507 of the family's 1533-position model. The record is from RNAcentral.
GACGAACGCUGGCGGUGUGCUUAACACAUGCAAGUCGAACGGUAAGGCCCUUUCGGGGGUCCACGAGUGGCGAACGGGUGAGUAACACGUGAGUAACCUGCCCUCAUCUCUGGGAUAACAGUCGGAAACGGUUGCUAAUACUGGAUAUGAGCCUGCAAGGCAUCUUGUGGGUUGGAAAGAUUUUUUGGUUGGGGAUGGACUCGCGGCCUACCAGCUUGUUGGUGAGGUAGUGGCUCACCAAGGCUUCGACGGGUAGCCGGCCUGAGAGGGCGACCGGCCACAUUGGGACUGAGAUACGGCCCAAACUCCUACGGGAGGCAGCAGUGGGGAAUAUUGCACAAUGGACGGAAGUCUGAUGCAGCAACGCCGCGUGCGGGAUGACGGCCUUCGGGUUGGAAACCGCUUUCAAUUGUGACGAAGCUUUUUGUGACGGUAGCAGUAGAAGAAGCACCGGCUAACUACGUG